This is a long non-coding RNA of Terrapene triunguis (Three-toed box turtle), 5700 nucleotides long. The record is from Ensembl. Lineage: Eukaryota; Metazoa; Chordata; Testudines; Emydidae.
CUUUGUUAUGGUCUUAGUCCAGCGUCCAGCAGACAGAUGUCUGUAUCUCAAAAACGACCACCACAAUUGACACAUCAACUUGAACGUGUAUUCUUACGUCUUGGCCAUGCAGAAACAGAUGAGCAGUUACAGAAUAUUAUAUCCAAAUUCCUACCCCCUGUCCUGCUCAAACUGUCCAGCACGCAGGAAGGAGUGCGUAAAAAGGUCAUGGAGCUCCUAGUUCACUUGAAUAAACGCAUCAAAAGUCGUCCAAAAAUUCAACUUCCAGUAGAGACUUUACUAGUCCAAUACCAAGAUCCCGCUGCAGUUUCCUUUGUCACCAAUUUUACUAUAAUUUAUGUUAAGAUGGGUUACCCUCGUUUGCCUGUGGAAAAACAAUGUGAAUUGGCGCCUACUCUCCUCACUGCAAUGGAAGGGAAACCACAACCACAGCAAGACAGCCUAAUGCAUCUUCUAAUACCAACCCUUUUUCACAUGAAAUAUCCUGUUGAACCAUCGAAAGCAGCUUCUCCAUUUAAUCUUGCCGAAAAACCAAAGACUGUACAGCUGCUCUUGGAGUUUAUGUUGGAUGUGCUCCUUAUGCCUUAUGGAUACGUACUGAAUGAAUCCCAGAGUCGCCAAAACGUGCCAUCGGCACAGGGCUCUUCUGCAUCCAGUAGUGCUGGAAGUUCGGGGAUCCCUCAACCUCCUCCAGGGAUGAGCUUUUACGCAGCCAAGCGGGUAAUUGGAGAUAGCCCAUGGACACCUGAACAGCUGGAACAGUGUAAACUGGGAAUAGUAAAGUUCAUUGAAGCUGAGCAGGUACCAGAGCUUGAAGCCGUCAUACACCUGGUAAUAGCCUCCAGCGACACACGACACAGUGUAGCCACUGCGGCAGACCUGGAACUGAAAAGCAAACAAAGCUUAAUUGACUGGAAUAAUCCUACUAUCGUCAACAAAAUGUACAAAGUGUACCUCGGGGAUAUACCACUGAAAACUAAAGAGGGAGUUGUUCUGAAGCCAGAACUGAAACGAGAUCCAGUCAGCACCCGGGUUAAAUUAAAGAUUGUUCCUCAUCUUCUGCGUUCCAGACAAGCUGCAGAAACAUUCCCAGCUAACAUUCAGGUGGUAUAUGAUGGACUCUUUGGUGCAAAUACAAACACGAAACUGAGAACUCUGUCCCUGCAGUUUGUACAUCAUAUUUGUACAAGUUGUCCAGAAAGUAAAAUAAAGCCACUAGGCCCAAUGCUUUUAAAUGGGCUUACGAAACUGAUUAAUGAAUACAAAGAGGACCCCAAACUGCUGUCAAUGGCCUAUUCAGCUGUUGGAAAACUGUCCAGUCGAAUGCCUCAGCUGUUUACCAAGGACAUAGCUCUUGUCCAGCAGUUUUUUGAAGCUUUGUGCAAGGAAGAGCCCGAUACCAGACUUGCUAUUCAGGAGGCCUUGUCUAUGAUGGUUGGAGCAUAUAGUAGUUUGGAAGGAGCACAGCGUACGCUUAUGGAGGCUCUUGUGGCUUCAUACCUAAUAAAGCCUGAAGUCCAAGUGCGUCAGGUGGCCGUGAAAUUUGCAAGCACAGUGUUCCCUUCAGAUCACAUCCCUUCCAGAUACUUACUGCUUUUAGCUGCAGGAGAUCCACGAGAGGAGGUGCAUGGAGAAGCCCAGCGCGUACUGAGAAUGUUUCCUGGUAAAAAUGAAAAGGAGAGUGCUGGUAAACAGAUGCCUUCCUUCCCAGAAAUGGUCCAUUACAUUCAAGACAAGGCCUCUCACCGAAUGAAAACUCCUGCUAAAUACAUGACCGGAACUGCAGUCCUGCCUUUCAAUCCUGCUACGUUUGGAGAGAUAGUCCUGUACCUGCGAAUGUGUCUUGCGCAUAGCGCAGGUGUGGUGCCAUCCUCUCAGAACUUAGCUGACAUGCAAGACCAUGCUCCAGCAAUUGGCCGUUAUAUCAGAAACCUCCUGUCUGGCAACUUCAUAUCUUCCUCCUCAUCGUCAUCUUCCUCAAAAAGUGGAGAAACCAACCCAGUGCAAAUCUAUAUUGGCCUUCUUCAGCAGCUGUUGUCUGGGGUUGGAGGUUUGCCAGUCAUGUAUUGUCUUCUAGAAGUUGUUUCGGUGUAUCCAGAAAAACUAGCUACCAGAUUUGCAGACAAAAUAGAUUGGAUAAAGAGUCUGAUGAAUACAAACAAGGAAGAGAUGCGUGAGCUGGCAGCACUGUUGUAUUCUGUAGUGUUGUCUACAAUGUCUGGAAAUGAACUGAAGUCCUCUGUACAGCAACUGAUCAAGACAGCAAAAGACAAUCAUAACCCGGAGAUCCAACAUGGAUCCUUGUUGGCUUUGGGAUUCACAGUAGGAAGGUACCUGGCCAAAAGGAAAACCAGAAUGAUGGAGAUGCAUGACAUUGAAGAGCCAAAUAUUGUUGUCAUGCCAGAACAAGACCAGCUCAUAAAGACCACAACAGAAACAAUAGGUUCCUUUUUGGACAGCACCUCUCCGCUCCUGGCAGUUGCUGCUUGUACAGCACUGGGGGAAAUUGGCAGGAACGGCCCCUUGCCAAUUCCCAACGAAGGCACCGGGUUUACAAAGCUGCAUCUUGUUGAGAGUUUACUGACCAGAAUCCCUUCUGGCAAGGAAACAAAUAAGAUGAAAGAACGAGCGAUACAAACACUGGGUUACUUUCCAGUGGGAGAUGGAGACUUUCCCCACCAGAAACUACUGUUGCAAGGACUAAUGGAUUCUGUGGAGGCCAAGCAAAUAGAACUUCAGUUCACCGUUGGUGAAGCCAUUACCAGUGCCGCAAUAGGAACCAGCUCAGUGGCUGCCCGUGAUGCUUGGAUGGUCACCGAGGAAGAGUAUACUCCUCCUGCAGAUGUGAAAGUGAACGACGUGGUCCCCUGGGUUUUGGACCUCAUUUUGAAUAAGCACAUUGUCAGCCCUAACCCCCACGUCAGGCAGGCAGCCUGCAUCUGGCUUUUGUCACUGGUGAAGAAGCUGAGCACACACAAAGAAAUUAAGUCUCAUCUCAAGGAGAUUCAAAGUGCAUUUGUUUCAGUUCUGUCUGAUAAUGAUGAACUUAGCCAAGACGUUGCUUCAAAAGGCCUUGGACUAGUGUAUGAACUAGGUAGUGAACAAGAUCAACAGGAGCUGGUCACCACGCUUGUUGAUACGCUUAUGACUGGGAAAAGGGUCAAACAUGAAGUGACUGGAGAGACAGUGGUGUUCCAGGGAGCCCUUGGCAAAACCCCAGAUGGUCAGGGUCUCUCUACCUACAAGGAGCUUUGUUCACUGGCUAGUGACCUCAGCCAACCAGACCUGGUGUACAAAUUCAUGAAUCUGGCCAACCACCAUGCCAUGUGGAACUCGCGCAAGGGAGCAGCGUUUGGUUUCAACGUGAUCGCUACAAAGGCUGGAGAGCAACUGGCUCCGUUUUUGCCCCAGCUGGUUCCCCGUCUCUAUCGUUACCAGUUUGACCCCAACAUGGGCAUUCGACAGGCUAUGACCAGCAUUUGGAACGCGCUUGUCACCGACAAAUCUGCAAUUGAUAAAUACAUGAAGGAGAUUCUGGAUGAUCUGCUCAACAACCUGACCAGCAACAUGUGGAGGAUCAGAGAAUCCAGCUGUCUAGCACUGAAUGACUUAUUAAGAGGCCGACCACUGGAUGACAUUAUUGAUAAACUUCCGGAAAUCUGGGAAACCCUGUUCCGAGUGCAAGAUGAUAUUAAGGAGUCUGUACGAAAAGCAGCAGAACUAGCCCUGAAAACGUUAAGUAAGGUGUGUGUGAAAAUGUGCGACCCCGCCAAAGGCGCAGCGGGCCAGAGAACUAUAGCGGUGUUACUGCCCUGCCUGCUGGACAAAGGAAUGAUGAGCACAGUGACUGAAGUUCGGGCUCUGAGCAUUAACACUCUUGUGAAGAUCAGUAAAAGUGCUGGUGUUAUGCUGAAGCCUCACGCGCCAAAGCUCAUCCCAGCUUUGCUGGAGUCCUUAAGCGUGUUGGAACCCCAGGUUCUCAAUUAUUUGAGUCUCCGCGCUACGGAUCAGGAGAAAGCUGCAAUGGAUAGUGCAAGACUUAGUGCUGCUAAAUCAUCUCCCAUGAUGGAAACAAUUAAUAUGUGCUUGCAGUAUCUGGAUGUGUCUGUCCUGGGGGAGCUGGUUCCUAGGCUGUGUGAGCUGAUCAAAAGUGGAAUAGGCCUGGGCACUAAGGUAUGUGUGCAAAUCAAUCCUGUCUCUUUUCAAACAGGCAAACUCAUGAGUGCUUUACUCAGUGGGCUGACUGAUCGCAACAGCGUGGUGCAGAAGUCUUUUGCAUUUGCUAUGGGGCAUCUAGUUCGGACCUCCCGGGAUAGUAGCACUGAGAAACUACUGCAGAAGCUCAACAGCUGGUACAUGGAGAAGGAAGAACCAGUCUAUAGGAUAGGCUGUGCUUUAACUGUUCAUGCCAUCGGGCGCUACAGCCCGGACGUGUUGAAGAACCAUGCCAAACAGGUCUUACCUCUGGCAUUUCUGGGCAUGCACGAGGUUCCAGAUGAAGAGAAAGGAGAGAAAGAUGAUUCUAAUCUGUGGACCGAAGUGUGGCAGGAAAAUGUACCUGGCACUUAUGGUGGCAUUAGAUUGUAUAUGCAGGAGUUGAUCGCAAUUACCCAGAAGGCUCUGCAGUCCCAGUCUUGGAAGAUGAAAGCCCAGGGAGCGGCUGCCAUGGCCUCUAUUGCCAAACAAACUGGUUCCCUGGUACCGCCCCAUCUGGGAAUGGUGGUUGAUGCAUUGUUGCAAGGUCUGUCUGGAAGAACGUGGGCAGGAAAGGAGGAGCUGCUGAAAGCUAUCGCCAGCGUCGUCUCUGCAUGCAGUGUAGAGUUGCAGAAGUCUGUGCCCAAUCAGCCCAGCGUCAAUGAUGUUGUCCAGGCUGUCCUGAAAGAGUGUCGCAAAGAGAACCUCAAGUACAAGAUGGUAGCGCUCCGAUGUACGGCAGACGUGCUGAAGGCGACAAAGGAAGACCGUUUCCAGGAGCUGGCGGACAUCGUCUUUCCGAUGAUAAAGAAGAAUUCUCAUGAGAGCGUAGGAGCUGGUUCACCAAAGAAUGAUGAUGACGAGAAUGAAAAAGAAAAGGAGCUUCAGAUGGAAUCUCUGCUCUGUGCCUUUGAGAGUUUGGGCAAGGCCUGGCCUAGGAAUCUGGAGACACAGCGCUGCUAUUGGCAAGAGCUGUGCAAAUUAAUGUGUGAGCGUCUGAAACUCAGUACGUGGAAAGUGCAGCUUGGAGUGCUACAGGCCAUGAACGCCUAUUUUCAAGGGUUAAUGCUUUUUGAAGAGGCGCACUCAGACCCUGGGGCUUUGACAGAAAUCCUGUUGGAAACCUGCUCAUCCAUCACACACUCUUUAGAAAAUAGGAGCUACACCUCCAUCAGAACAGAAGCGUUGUCUGUGAUAGAACUGCUGCUUACCAGACUUAAAGAGUCUAAACAAUGGGACAGCCUGCCACUGGAAAGUAGAGCGCUCCUCAUUGGCUCACUUACUACCAUGGUAUUGGACAGCAGACCUGAGCUGCAAGAGAAAGCAUCUUUAUUGAAGAAAACACUUGAAAACCUUGACUAAAUUGUAAAACACCAACAGCAAAGUGCCAUGUAAAACAAAAACAAGUGCAGUGUGAUCCGAAAACCAAGUGGGGAAAUGAAGAUUAAUCUGUAGCAUGCAUCAUUCCUUGGCCAAAAUAAAAAAUGCCUUAAAUUCUGUUCCCCA